ACCCUCGCCGCCGGACUCCCACGUGCUCCUCCCAGGCACCAUGGCGUUGGGGACGCACAACCCAGGCACCGCAGACCAUGUGUGAAGGCUGGAUGCGAGACCUCAUGCACUCACUUGAGGGCGAGCUCAGCCGAUGCCUAGACGCCAAGGCUUUAAAAAUUCGUUGAUGUGUGGAUUAUAAAUGUAUGGGGUUUCUAUUGCCAUGCCUGCCACUCUGGUGCAGCUCCGGCACACGCUGGAUGGCCUUGUCCCUAAAGGUGAUUUGGUAAUACGUUGCAUGCUGUUCUGUUUGGUUAGCUCUGACCACGUUGAUUGGUUUUCUGUAAUUAGUCAAGUAGUAUAUUGUCAUCCCUUGUGCAUAUUGAAAAUACAACUGAUUGGUUAGCUGCACAGAUUAACUGAUUCAAUGUUUUUUUUUGUUAACAUUGAUGUGUCAUCUGAGGUCCUAUAUCUAUCUGAUGAGUGCUAAAAUGGUGUGGACGUGUGGCUUUUGGAUUUUUUACUGCUCAAGAAUUCAGUCUGACGAUAUUUGGUGGACACAUGCUCUUUAGGUGGAUUGACCCCUACCGUGGCUGAGGUGUACAGCAUAGUGAAUUUUCUGGAGCUCUGCUUGAAUUUGAACACUCAGUUUGCGUCCCAGAUUUCUCUGAACUCCAGUAUAUCAAAAAAAAAAUUAUUUUGUUCUUCUCUUUGGUUGGCAAUUAUAAGAUUUAAAUAGCUCGUAAGCACAUGAGGAUGCUCAAUGUAAACUGGUAUACUUAUCUCUCUCUUGUUGUUAGGUUGAAUUGGUAAAAGCAUUUUGUUCUUUGUAUGGUUAGUAAUAUGGCUGAACACUAAGAGCUGAGCUAAUUUGUAGAGACAGCGUGGAUGUUUUAUUUUCCAUAUAUCCCAUUACUCAUGAUGGUGGAAAUAAAAGUUUACCUACUUAGUUGCCAAAUCUCACUGGAAUUGCUUUUGGAUGUAGUGACAGUGAUAUCUGAACUCAUAUUUUGAGUGAUAUUUUUCAGUGCGAACCUAACUAAUUUAAAUUUUCUCAUUGUCCGUGAUGUAUGUGACGGUGAUCCUUGCAUCUUCUUUGCCAUGAAAUCAUGUUUAUUUACUCUAGCGGUGAGUCCAUGUUUGGAAGAAAUUAAUAAUUUCAGUACAUGUUGGAGCUUUUGGGUCGUUCCAGUGUGAAAUAGUUGUAGUUUUGCACCAUCUAUCCAAUUGGGCUUAUGCAGAUAGCUUAAAUUCAUGGAUAUGAGCAUAUGUAUAUAUCUUGUGAGAGACUUAAGAGAAACCAAAUAUGAUCACCAAUUUAGGAACCAAAUAUACGGGAGAGUCUCAGAUUCUAAGAAGGGUUCUAGAGUUUCAUAUUGCUGUGUCCUGGCUCCACUUGCCCCCAUGCCAAAACCAUCGGUGUGGCAUGGGGGCAUCGACCUCUCAGAAGGCAGGUUCUAUGGCCAUUGGUAGAGCUAAGGCGGACGAAGUGGUGUUCUGGCUGGUGAGUUAUCAUCAUCUCGUUUCAUUGUUCGGUACUCAUCAAAUCUGAGACUAUGGAAUAUGUAUGACACGGAUUACCGAUAUUCAUUGUUGAAGGGUUGCUGAUGCUUGGGAUGGGGUAAAUCUUAAGCUUACUCUCUGCAGAACUGUGUCUCAGUGAGUGUUCCAUAUAUGGUUAGACUUGGUCUCUUUGUUGACACAUAGUGGGUACUAAGAUGGUUGCGUGUCAGGGAGAUGUUAACAAGAAUCGAGAUGUUGAUUGGAAGCUGGAAGGUGCUUUGGUUGGACAAACAUUCCAGUUUGCUGGAUCCUGGAGGAGUACCUGAUGAAGCUGAACCCCUUGAAAGGGGAACUUCUUUGAAUUGGAUGGACAUGAAUGAACUGAUCCUGGGGUGUAUGUCUACUGAAUCUACAUCAUCUGUCCCCCUUCGAAGAAAUGGCGUCGGGAGCUGGCCCGUGAAGCUUUAUUGGGAUGAUUGGCAAUACCUUGUGACUCUGUAGGCUUAUUCCUGUAGCUACCUGAAAGUGUUGUUCCCUCUCGCCUGUUUCCAUUUUCUGUUUUCGGCUUUGUUACUGUAACCUGAUGAUGUGACUGCUUUGCAUAUAAUGGAACCGGGGGGGCCCCUUUAUCUAAAAAAAAAAGAGAUGCUAAAGAGGAGGAUC
Non-coding RNA from Lolium perenne, 2145 nucleotides. NCBI's taxonomy places the organism in Eukaryota, Viridiplantae, Streptophyta, Magnoliopsida, Poales, Poaceae. The record is from RefSeq and is a predicted model, not a curated record.